This 481-nucleotide ribosomal RNA is filed under the name uncultured bacterium. RNAcentral describes it as "bacterial SSU rRNA". It matches the Rfam family "Bacterial small subunit ribosomal RNA", at positions 8 to 518 of the family's 1533-position model. The record is from RNAcentral.
AGAGUUGAUCCUGGCUCAGGAUGAACGCUGGCGGCGUGCCUAACACAUGCAAGUCGAGCGAUCUCUCGGAGAAGAGCGGCGGACGGGUGAGUAACGCGUGGGUAACCUGCCUCAUACACAUGGAUAACAUACCGAAAGGUAUGCUAAUACAGGAUAAUAUAAGAGAUUCACAUGGAUUUCUUAUCAAAGCUCCGGCGGUAUGAGAUGGACCCGCGUCUGAUUAGCUAGUUGGUAAGGUAACGGCUUACCAAGGCGACGAUCAGUAGCCGACCUGAGAGGGUGAUCGGCCACAUUGGAACUGAGACACGGUCCAAACUCCUACGGGAGGCAGCAGUGGGGAAUAUUGCACAAUGGGCGAAAGCCUGAUGCAAGCAACGCCGCGUGAGUGAUGAAGGCCUUCGGGUCGCAAAACUCUGUCCUCAAGGAAGAUAAUGACGGUACUUGAGGAGGAAGCCCCGGCUAACUACGUGCCAGCCGCUGC